UACAGAGGUCCCAAGCGUUGUUCGGAUUCAUUGGGCGUAAAGGGUGCGUAGGCGGCGCGGUAAGUCGGGUGUGAAAUCUCGGAGCUUAACUCCGAAACUGCAUUCGAUACUGCCGUGCUUGAGGACUGGAGAGGAGACUGGAAUUUACGGUGUAGCGGUGAAAUGCGUAGAUAUCGUAAGGAAGACCAGUGGCGAAGGCGACAUCCUGGACCGGUAUUGACGCUGAGGCGCGAAAGCCAGGGGAGCAAACGGG
This 253-nucleotide ribosomal RNA is filed under the name uncultured bacterium. Its description in RNAcentral is "partial 16S ribosomal RNA". It matches the Rfam family "Bacterial small subunit ribosomal RNA", at positions 524 to 776 of the family's 1533-position model. The record is from RNAcentral.